GGCGAACGCUGGCGGCGUGCUUAACACAUGCAAGUCGAGCGGUAAGGCCCUUUCGGGGGUACACGAGCGGCGAACGGGUGAGUAACACGUAGGUGACCUGCCCUGAAGUGCGGAAUAACAGUCCGGAAAGGAUUGCUAAUACCGCAUGUGGUCCCGGGCGUUAGAGAACCGGGUCUAAAGCAGUAAUGCGCUUCAGGAGGGGCCUGCGGUCCAUCAGCUAGUUGGUAGGGUAAUGGCCUACCAAGGCAACGACGGAUAGGGGACCUGAGAGGGUCGGCCCCCCACAUUGGCACUGACACA
RNAcentral lists this ribosomal RNA (300 nucleotides) under uncultured bacterium. RNAcentral describes it as "bacterial SSU rRNA". It matches the Rfam family "Bacterial small subunit ribosomal RNA", at positions 28 to 326 of the family's 1533-position model. The record is from RNAcentral.